Loxodonta africana (African savanna elephant) is the source of this 1956-nucleotide long non-coding RNA. RefSeq lists it as uncharacterized. The transcript is spliced from 2 exons. NCBI's taxonomy places the organism in Eukaryota, Metazoa, Chordata, Mammalia, Proboscidea, Elephantidae. The record is from RefSeq and is a predicted model, not a curated record.
GCGGGACGAAAAAUUCCCCAGUAGGUGCUGUGUUUGCUGAGGCCAAACCCAGUUUUCAAAUCUUCUUAAAGACAGGAGAAGCAAGGCAUUGGCUGAGGCUGAGGAAAUGCCCCCUGAGGGUAUUAACCGUUUGCACCAUCCAGGGACCCCAGUGAAAACCACUGUAACGACUACUUAGCUAAAAGUUUAAAUAAUUUGUUCAAAGACAUAAACCUCCCAAGUGGGAGAGGUAGGAUUUGAACGCAGGCCCACGCUCAUAACCAUUUCAAGAUGGCGCUCUCUAUAAUAUAGAAGGUAUCUCAGUAAAGGGGAGCUUCUGUAAAAGGAACCAUCUUACUGUAGCAAAGAACAUUCUAGCAGAGAUAUUCAGAGAGGCAUAGAUUGGAGACAUUUGAAAAGAGGCGGGCAGUUCCUUCAUAGAGGGAGAUCAGGCAUGGCUAGAGGGUUGGAUUAAAUAUCAGUGAUCCUAACAAGAAGAGCUACCACUUUCCCAGUGUUUGUGAUGAGCCAAGCACUAUGCUAAGCACUUUACAAGCACCUUUUAGGUCUUUGGGUGGCAUGAACAGUGUGCUCAGCUACUACGUGAAAGGUUCAAACUCACCCCAGUGGUGCCCUGGAAGAAAGACCUGUGACCUGCUUCCGUGAAGAUUACAGCCAAGAAAACCCUAUGGAGCUCAGUUCUACUCUGUAACACAUGGAGUUGCCAUGAGUCAGAAGGGACCAGACAGCAACAGAGUAUGUUUCAUUGGCUCGACUGCUCCAGGGCACAGACCCUAAUUGGAUAACAGAAACAGAGUUCAAGGUCACAGAGUUUGGAGCUGGAACUCCAGAGAGUAACGGGCUGGGACUCAAACCGAGAUCUGUCUGACUCCAAAGCCCUUGCUUUUUACAGCCAUAUGAUACUGGUUGAUUUUAAGGUCUCUUCCAUCCCCCAAGAUGCUGUAAUUCAAAAUAUCCACAGGGAAAGGAUGCUACAUCUGCCCAUGUGGUUUCAUUUUAGCCUGUGUUGAUAUUUUUACUGAGCUCUUGGAGACUGCUGGGGGCCCCAGAGUCUGUUCCCUGUCUUGAGUCAGUCUUCUGGCACGUUCGACCAAACUUUUGCCAGAUUGUUCUGAUUUUUUCUCCCUCACAUUUUACUAUCUGUGUUUCUUUUAAGCAACAGUGAAUGCCCCAUAUUCCUGGUUUCAUCUGUAUUUAAAUAGAUGGCUUCGCAAUUGCUGAUAUCAUGUCCAGAAAAGCUUGUAAAUCCUCGUUUUCUCUGAGUCUGCCACAGCCCCUGUACCUCCAGCUGAGCCUCAAAAUGCCUCUUUGCAGACAUAGGGCUGAAGCCACAGGUAGAAGGGGUGUCAGUUAAGCCUAAUCUAGUGGCUUUUUCUCUCCACUUCCCAACCUGCCCCCAAGGAUCCUGUCAUCUGGCCCUGGAACUCUGUUUUUUUGGUUACUCUCAAGUGGGCUCCCACUCAUGGUGACCUUAUGUAUAAAAGAAUUGAUUACUUUUGUGUGUGGCCUUUCUAGCCAUGGUCUUCUAACUGUGUGAUAAGGUAAUUGUGGCCCACCCAGGGGACUGAUCAGUUUCGCCUUAAAAGAGAGCCAAUUCAUGAGCAGAGAGGAGGAUCCUACUACCACCAAAGAACUGCCAAAAGCAGAGAUUGCAUCCUUCAGACCCGGGAUCCCUGCACCGAGAAGCUCCUGGAAGCAGAAGAUCAAAAGAGAGAGCGAGCUAUAACCCUGAAGACGGUGAGAAGUGGUGGCAGGAGAGACCUGGCCACAGGAGAUGGUUUCCCAGCCCACGGAGAGAGAAAGCUGAGUGCCUUUUGGGAGAGGCCAAGGGCCAGGGAGAGGUGUGCCUAUGAGUACGGCUGGGAAGAGGCUGUCCUGAUGGAAGAACUGUGUCCUUGAGUGUUCCUGAGCCUGAGUUAUAACCUGUUACUUCCCUAAUAAACCCUAUAAUUGUAA